This 206-nucleotide unclassified non-coding RNA is filed under the name Hevea brasiliensis (rubber tree). Lineage: Eukaryota; Viridiplantae; Streptophyta; Magnoliopsida; Malpighiales; Euphorbiaceae. The record is from RNAcentral.
UCACUUCCUUCCAUUCAACCCAACUGACAAGCGAACUGCCCUGACAUACAUUGAUGCCGAUGGAAAAAUGCAUAGAGUCAGCAAGGGUGCUCCAGAGCAGAUCUUGAAUCUUGCACACAACAAAUCAGAGAUAGAAAGAAGGGUUCAUGCUGUGAUUGAUAAGUUCGCAGAGCGAGGAUUGCGCUCUCUUGCAGUGGCAUACCAAG